RNAcentral lists this transfer RNA (75 nucleotides) under Cordylochernes scorpioides. RNAcentral describes it as "tRNA-Lys". The record is from RNAcentral. Lineage: Eukaryota; Metazoa; Arthropoda; Arachnida; Pseudoscorpiones; Chernetidae.
UUCCCACGCCGGGAAUCGAACCCGGGCCUUCUGGGUAAAAGCCAGAUAUCCUAGCCACUAUAUAAAAUCAAAAGA